GCCAGGAUUGCAUUGCGCCAGGAUAUAUUACUUCCAAACGCAGCCAAGAUUUCUUCAAGCGUCAAUCCUGGCCAAGUCAGGAUGUAUUUCUUCAAACGCAGCCAAGAUUUCUUCAAGCGUCAAUCCUGGCCUUGCGCCAGGAUGUAUGACUUCCAAACGCAGUCAUGAUUUAUUCAAGCGUCAAUCCUGGACAAGUCAUGAUGUAUUUCUUCAAACGCAGUCAAGAUUUGAAGUCAUGAUUGCAUUGCGCCAGGAUGUAUGACUUCCAAACACAGUCAUGAUUCGCUUUUGUAUGAUAAUAUGUAAGCGCUUCCCUAACACUGAAAAACCGCUAAAAUGUGUAUUGGGUUUCCAGCCUUCCCGUUCAUCUCAGCUGGCAAGUAAGUACCAAGUAACAGCUAGUGAUUUGUGUGUACUGAACCAUCAACAUAUUAAACUGUCCAAGACUGGUGAUAGAUAUGUAGUAUUUUAGAUUGACGCAUGCUGACUGGGG
Molecule: long non-coding RNA, 493 nt
Organism: Saccostrea echinata
Lineage: Eukaryota; Metazoa; Mollusca; Bivalvia; Ostreida; Ostreidae
Exons: 3
Source: RefSeq, a predicted model, not a curated record